This 429-nucleotide ribosomal RNA is filed under the name Acidobacteriota bacterium. RNAcentral's name for it is "Acidobacteria bacterium partial 16S ribosomal RNA". It matches the Rfam family "Bacterial small subunit ribosomal RNA", at positions 355 to 776 of the family's 1533-position model. The record is from RNAcentral. Lineage: Bacteria; Pseudomonadati; Acidobacteriota.
UGGGGAAUUUUGGACAAUGGGGGAAACCCUGAUCCAGCCAUCCCGCGUGUGCGAUGAAGGCCUUCGGGUUGUAAAGCACUUUUGGCAGGAAAGAAACGUCAUGGGUUAAUACCCCGUGAAACUGACGGUACCUGCAGAAUAAGCACCGGCUAACUACGUGCCAGCAGCCGCGGUAAUACGUAGGGUGCAAUCGUUAAUCGGAAUUACUGGGCGUAAAGCGUGCGCAGGCGGUUCGGAAAGAAAGAUGUGAAAUCCCAGGGCUCAACUUUCGAACUGCAUUUUUAACUACCGGGCUAGAGUGUGUCAGAGGGAGGUGGAAUUCCGCGUGUAGCAGUGAAAUGCGUAGAUAUGCGGAGGAACACCGAUGGCGAAGGCAGCCUCCUGGGAUAACACUGACGCUCAUGCACGAAAGCGUGGGGAGCAAACAGG